AUGGCCGGAUCUGGUGUCCAAUCGGGUCAGGGAGGCGAGGUGGCAUCGGGCGAGCUCCAGCUCGUUGCAGGGGAUGCAGGAGCGACAGGGACUUGGCGAGCAGCGCAGGUGGUCUCCUGUGGACGGCGCGGCGCCCUGGAGGCGGGGACGAGGCUGAGGACACGGGCCACGUCGGAUUCAGCCGGCGGGAGCCCAUCUCCGAUGAUGGUGGCGCCGGCUGGUGCUCCUGUUCGAGGCAAGGACAGGGAGAGAGAGAGAGAGAUAGUCAAUCAAAGAAGCCGAACGAAAAAUGGGAAGAAGAGAGAAGGCGAGGGUGGCAGGCGCGCAAGGAGGAGGCAACGGGCGCGCUGGCGGCCCUACUACUCGGGUGCUGGUCACGGCAGAGGCUCGGGGCAGAGGAGGAGCACGGCGAAGUCGAGACAGAGGCGGGAUCGGGCAGAGGAGGUGCCCAUGGCGUUGGACUUGGCGUCCUGCAGGUCCGGCAGGGAUGGCGACCUUGAUGCAGGGGAGAGAUGGAGGCGUGGAUUCGGUGAGGCGGCGGAGUUCCUUCGGCGGCCAUGGCGCCUGGCGUGCUCCCUCUUGCAGCUGUACAGAGAGAAAGAGAGAGAUGUGAGAGGAGGGAGUAGAGGCAGGGAAGGAGAAGGAAAGGAGCAGGGGAGGUCUGGCUAUGGUCUCGGUGGUUGGCACCGGUUGGGAAGCGAAGAGCAGCGGAGAUCGGCGAGGUGUGUGGGUUUGACGAUGGGGAUCUGGGAGGAUCCUGAGGUGGGAGGAGGUGGUUGUGGUCUCGGUGGUUGGCUGAGUGGGGAUUGA
This 810-nucleotide ribosomal RNA is filed under the name Triticum aestivum (bread wheat). RNAcentral's name for it is "partial small subunit ribosomal RNA". The record is from RNAcentral. Lineage: Eukaryota; Viridiplantae; Streptophyta; Magnoliopsida; Poales; Poaceae.